Molecule: ribosomal RNA, 497 nt
Filed under: uncultured bacterium
Lineage: Bacteria
Description: partial 16S ribosomal RNA
Rfam family: Bacterial small subunit ribosomal RNA
Source: RNAcentral
GAUGAACGCUGGCGGCGUGCCUAAUACAUGCAAGUCGAGCGAACGGACGAGAAGCUUGCUUCUCUGAUGUUAUCGGCGGACGGGUGAGUAACACGUGGAUAACCUACCUAUAAGACUGGGAUAACUUCGGGAAACCGGAGCUAAUACCGGAUGAUAUUUUGAACCGCAUGGUUCAAAAGUGAAAGACGGUCUUGCUGUCACUUAUAGAUGGAUCCGCGCUGCAUUAGCUAGUUGGUAAGGUAACGGCUUACCAAGGCAACGAUGCAUAGCCGACCUGAGAGGGUGAUCGGCCACACUGGAACUGAGACACGGUCCAGACUCCUACGGGAGGCAGCAGUGGGGAAUCUUCCGCAAUGGGCGAAAGCCUGACGGAGCAACGCCGCGUGAGUGAUGAAGGUCUUCGGAUCGUAAAACUCUGUUAUUAGGGAAGAACAUAUGUGUAAGUAACUGUGCACAUCUUGACGGUACCUAAUCAGAAAGCCACGGCUAACUACGUG